UUGCACGCUGGCGGCAUGCUUUACACAUGCCAGUCGAACGGUAACAGGCCUUCGGGUGCUGACGAGUGGCGAACGGGUGAGUAAUGCAUCGGAACGUACCCAGAGGUGGGGGAUAACGCAGCGAAAGCUGUGCUAAUACCGCAUGUGAUCUGAGGAUGAAAGCGGGGGACCGAGCAGCAAUGUUUGGCCUCGCGCCUUUGGAGCGGCCGAUGUCGGAUUAGCUAGUUGGUGGGGUAAAGGCCUACCAAGGCGACGAUCCGUAGCUGGUCUGAGAGGACGACCAGCCACACUGGGACUGAGACACGGCCCAGACUCCUACGGGAGGCAGCAGUGGGGAAUUUUGGACAAUGGGCGCAAGCCUGAUCCAGCAAUGCCGCGUGCGGGAAGAAGGCCUUCGGGUUGUAAACCGCUUUUGGCAGGAACGAAACGGUGUCCGCUAAUACCGGGCGCUAAUGACGGUACCUGCAGAAUAAGCACCGGCUAACUACGUG
This 491-nucleotide ribosomal RNA is filed under the name uncultured bacterium. RNAcentral describes it as "partial 16S ribosomal RNA". It matches the Rfam family "Bacterial small subunit ribosomal RNA", at positions 29 to 507 of the family's 1533-position model. The record is from RNAcentral.